AGAGUUUGAUCCUGGCUCAGGACGAACGCUGGCGGCGUGCCUAACACAUGCAAGUCGAACGGACGAGGCCCCUUCGGGGACCGAGUUAGUGACGGACGGGUGAGUAACGCGUGAGCAACCUGCCUUUCAGAGGGGGACAACAGUUGGAAACGACUGCUAAUACCGCAUGAUGCAGCGAGAUCGCAUGGUCUUGCUGUCAAAGAUUUAUCGCUGAAAGAUGGGCUCGCGUCUAAUUAGCUAGUUGGAGGGGUAACGGCCCACCAAGGCGACGAUCAGUAGCCGGACUGAGAGGUUGAACGGCCACAUUGGGACUGAGAUACGGCCCAGACUCCUACGGGAGGCAGCAGUGGGGAAUAUUGGGCAAUGGGGGAAACCCUGACCCAGCAACGCCGCGUGAAGGAAGAAGGCUUUCGGGUUGUAAACUUCUUUUACCAGGGACGAAGAACGUGACGGUACCUGGAGAAAAAGCCACGGCUAACUACGUGCCAGCAGCCGCGGUAAUACGUAGGUGGCAAGCGUUGUCCGGAUUUACUGGGUGUAAAGGGCGUGUAGGCGGAGCUGCAAGUCAGAUGUGAAAUCUGGGGGCUUAACCCUCAAACUGCAUUUGAAACUGUAGCCCUUGAGUAUCGGAGAGGCAGGCGGAAUUCCUAGUGUAGCGGUGAAAUGCGUAGAUAUUAGGAAGAACACCAGUGGCGAAGGCGGCCUGCUGUACGACAACUGACGCUGAGGCGCGAAAGCGUGGGGAGCAAACAGGAUUAGAUACCCUGGUAGUCCACGCUGUAAACGAUGAAUACUAGGUGUGGGGGGACUGACCCCCUCCGUGCCGGAGUUAACACAAUAAGUAUUCCACCUGGGGAGUACGACCGCAAGGUUGAAACUCAAAGGAAUUGACGGGGGCCCGCACAAGCAGUGGAUUAUGUGGUUUAAUUCGACGCAACGCGAAGAACCUUACCGGGAUUUGACAUCCUACUAACGAAGCAGAGAUGCAUUAGGUGCCCUUCGGGGAAAGUAGAGACAGGUGGUGCAUGGUUGUCGUCAGCUCGUGUCGUGAGAUGUUGGGUUAAGUCCCGCAGCGAGCGCAACCCCUAUUGUUAGUUGCUACGCAAGAGCACUCUAGCGAGACUGCCGUUGACAAAACGGAGGAAGGCGGGGACGACGUCAAAUCAUCAUGCCCCUUAUGUCCCGGGCUACACACGUAAUACAAUGGCGGUCAACAAAGGGAAGCAAAGCCGCGAGGCAGAGCAAACCCCCAAAAGCCGUCUCAGUUCGGAUUGCAGGCUGCAACUCGCCUGCAUGAAGCUGGAAUUGCUAGUAAUCGUGGAUCAGAAUGCCACGGUGAAUACGUUCCCGGGCCUUGUACACACCGCCCGUCACACCAUGAGAGUCGGGAACACCCGAAGUCCGUAGUCUAACCCGCAAGGGAGGGCGCGGCCGAAGGUGGGUCUGAUAAUUGGGGUGAAGUCGUAACAAGGUA
RNAcentral lists this ribosomal RNA (1474 nucleotides) under metagenome. Its description in RNAcentral is "bacterial SSU rRNA". It matches the Rfam family "Bacterial small subunit ribosomal RNA". The record is from RNAcentral.